This 489-nucleotide ribosomal RNA is filed under the name uncultured bacterium. Its description in RNAcentral is "partial 16S ribosomal RNA". It matches the Rfam family "Bacterial small subunit ribosomal RNA", at positions 30 to 507 of the family's 1533-position model. The record is from RNAcentral.
UUGAACGCUGGCGGCAGGCCUAACACAUGCAAGUCGAACGGUAACAGGAAGCAGCUUGCUGCUUUGCUGACGAGUGGCGGACGGGUGAGUAAUGUCUGGGAAACUGCCCGAUGGAGGGGGAUAACUACUGGAAACGGUAGCUAAUACCGCAUAACGUCGCAAGACCAAAGAGGGGGACCUUAGGGCCUCUUGCCAUCGGAUGUGCCCAGAUGGGAUUAGCUAGUAGGUGGGGUAACGGCUCACCUAGGCGACGAUCCCUAGCUGGUCUGAGAGGAUGACCAGCCACACUGGAACUAAGACACGGUCCAGACUCCUACGGGAGGCAGCAGUGGGGAAUAUUGCACAAUGGGCGCAAGCCUGAUGCAGCCAUGCCGCGUGUAUGAAGAAGGCCUUCGGGUUGUAAAGUACUUUCAGCGGGGAGGAAGGGAGUAAAGUUAAUACCUUUGCUCAUUGACGUUACCCGCAGAAGAAGCACCGGCUAACUCCGUG